AUGAGACCCCCCCUCUGCUCUUGGUGCCAGUGCAUAAUGCUCAGAACAGGAGACAGCCCCUGUCCCACGCGGCUCGAGGUGCCUUCCCCAGCCCGGCCCGAGGUGCCGGAGUCCACCCGCAGGAGUUUCCCUGCCUCCAGGACCCCUGCCCAGGCAGGUAAGGCCAGCCGAGGAGCAGGAGCGCAGCAGCUCUGCGCCCCCCGGGAGCCAGCACACGUGGGGUGGGAGUGGUUUGCCCACGAACGAGUCCGUGGCAGAGCUGAGGAUGCUGCCGGCUCCUUAACCCCGCCACCCAGAUUUAAUUCCCCGCUUAAAAUCGGAGACGAUCCCCGCUCCGAGGAGCUCCCCCCGGCUGUCCCGCAGAUUCCCGUGCACAGCGGGCACGGGGAGCGCUCCCCUGAGCUGUGCGAGGGGUGCGAUGUGGUGACCCCUGCACGGGAUUUCGGCUUCCCUGGAGCCAUCCCGCUGGAGGGGGGGCCGUGUGUGUGUGUGUGUGUGUGUGUGUGUGUGUGUGCGAGCCUUGCACACUUCUCGGGGACACGCACAGCACCGAGUGGGAAGAGCACCACAAGUUCAUUAAGGGGUGCCACCGGUGGGCAGCACCCUGCUUCCAGCACCCCACCGGGGGUCACAGUGGGGCAGCACCCGUCCGUCCGUCCACCCAUCCGUCUGUCCGUCCAUCUGUCCGCCCUCCACCCUGCCGCUGCCACCCCCCAGUGCCAGGCACGACCCCAGCGGGCUGCCCCCUUUCCCCGGCGAGCCCCUGGCCCCGCGGAGAAGCGGCUCCGUAGAGCGGGAGGUGCGGGCGAGCCCCUCCUGCCCCGGCCCCGCCGCCAGCUCGGGCGCGCCCCCGCGGGGCGGGCUCUGCGCGCCUUUUGCGCGGCUUUUGCGCGGGGGGAGCCUCCGGGUGCGCCAUGCGGAGCGCUCGGCACCGGGACCCUCGCCGGCUGCGGCCCGGGGAGCGGGGAGCUGGGCAGCGGCACCCGGGGCUGCGGCCGCCCCCAUGCCGCGGGGCCGCCCCCCGCCGCCCGGCACCAGGCAAGUUUGCGGGGAACUUUUCCGCCGGGGUUGCGGGCACCGGGAGGCACAGCCCGGCACGGUGGGCUCCCCCCCGGCUCCGGGGCUCCCCCCCGGGGGUCGUGA
This 1143-nucleotide long non-coding RNA is filed under the name Anas platyrhynchos platyrhynchos (common mallard). RNAcentral describes it as "lncRNA (ENSAPLG00000023492.1)". Lineage: Eukaryota; Metazoa; Chordata; Aves; Anseriformes; Anatidae. The record is from RNAcentral.